This 494-nucleotide ribosomal RNA is filed under the name uncultured bacterium. RNAcentral describes it as "partial 16S ribosomal RNA". It matches the Rfam family "Bacterial small subunit ribosomal RNA", at positions 28 to 507 of the family's 1533-position model. The record is from RNAcentral.
GACGAACGCUGGCGGCGUGCUUAACACAUGCAAGUCGAACGGUGAAGCGCCUUCCUUUUUGGUGGGUGUGGAUGAGUGGCGAACGGGUGAGUAACACGUGAGUAACCUGCCCCCUUCUUCUGGAUAACCGCAUGAAAGUGUGGCUAAUACAGGAUAUUCUGGGUCUGUCGCAUGAUGGGUCUGGGAAAGAUAUUGUUUCGGUGGGGGAUGGGCUCGCGGCCUAUCAGCUUGUUGGUGGGGUGAUGGCCUACCAAGGCGGUGACGGGUAGCCGGCCUGAGAGGGUGGACGGUCACACUGGGACUGAGACACGGCCCAGACUCCUACGGGAGGCAGCAGUGGGGAAUAUUGCACAAUGGGCGCAAGCCUGAUGCAGCGACGCCGCGUGAGGGAUGGAGGCCUUCGGGUUGUGAACCUCUUUCGCCAGUGAAGCAGGCCUGCCUCGUUUGCGGGUGGGUUGACGGUAGCUGGAUAAGAAGCGCCGGCUAACUACGUG